Long non-coding RNA from Pygocentrus nattereri (red-bellied piranha), 1454 nucleotides. The record is from Ensembl. NCBI's taxonomy places the organism in Eukaryota, Metazoa, Chordata, Actinopteri, Characiformes, Serrasalmidae.
AUGCUAUUUAGGGAAGAAUUAGCCUCCAUUAUUUGUUAGCUAAAUGCUAAAGAAGCAUAUUCCAGACACCAAACAUGUCUUGGCUGAAUAAAUACAUUUGGGGCAAGGCCUCACUGGCCAAUGAGGGUCUGCAGAUAGAUAGAGUAAGAUCACAGAGAGGAAAGAGAGCUCUAGUCACUAGCCAGUCAAUAUGCAUAGUCCACUUUAACCUAUUAUACCAAGCCACCAUAUUGGCAUAUACUGUAUAUAUUCAGCAGAAGCUCCAGUGUUAGAUUUGAUGGUGUUAUUUCACCACAAGAGAGAGCAGAAGAAGCAGGUCCUGAUGAUGAAAGCAAAUAAAGAGGAACAGGAGGGAUUGCGUAAGAGAGUGAGAGAAUGCAGUCUUGUGACACUUCACACUCGUUUUGUUCUUUUGAGAAGGACUUUUCCCAUUAUUGUACAUUGUGGUUAGACAUUUGAGCUGGAGCUGGAAAUCAGUGGUUGACUGUAUGGUUAGAAUGUUAUUUAGGGUCAACAGCAGGACAUAUGUCUUUUUAGUUCUAGCGAGGCGACAGGUACUAGCGCAAUGUAAAUUUUGACACAACUUCCGGCUGUCACUUCUUUUGAGGAAGACAGAGAGUGCUUGUCCAGAGCUUCUUUUUGUCAGCUUGUGGUCAGAAGAAUUUGUCAGUUCUUCUGAGCAAAGAUACAGUGAGAAGGAUUGAUCUCUCUGAGGAAAAGCCACCACUUGCGGCAACAACAUGUUUGCAGUACACUUGGGAAUUUACUGCAUUUUUCUGCUGUGCUGCAGUAACAAGAGUCAAGCCAAUGAUCUUGUGGUCAACAACAGAACUAGCGUGGCACUGGCAAAUGAAACACUCCACUUCCACAUCAGGGUCACUGUUCCUGCCAACAGCAGCGGAACCAAAGUUUUUUGCUCCAGAAAUGGGCAUGAAGUUUGGAAGGAAUACCUUCACAGUGCACAAUCUGGCAUUAAAGUUGAGUUGUGGGCUAACAUCACCAUAAAUAACAGCUCAAGCUCUGGAGAAUACAUCUUCCAGUACCUAGAAAAGAAAGUCUACUGCGUGGCCCUUGUACGAGACGUGGGUUAUAUCGAGCCAAAUGAGUCUUUAGAGGCUGAUGUCAUUGCUUUGCUGGUUGUCACAACUAUUUUACUCAUCUUCAGCAUCGUUGGAUCAAUUUACAUCUUCAAAUGGCAGAAGGAUCAUCCCAAGUCAGAGAAGGGUGGAGACGGAGUGAAAGUCAAAAACAGACAGAGCAACGUAGGCGUGACGGCUCAGGGUCUAAACUCUGAAUCAGUUUACACGGCCCUUGAACCCAGGCCGGUCUCUAUUUAUGACGUGCUGAAUGUUGACCAAGUCAGAAGGGAAAGUACAAAGCGCACAUCAGAGGAAACGGCCAAGACGUCUCAGGUGGAGGAAGGAAUUUUUGAAUCUGUCUAUGAAAACCUGUGA